This 492-nucleotide ribosomal RNA is filed under the name uncultured bacterium. RNAcentral describes it as "partial 16S ribosomal RNA". It matches the Rfam family "Bacterial small subunit ribosomal RNA", at positions 29 to 507 of the family's 1533-position model. The record is from RNAcentral.
AGUGAACGCUGGCGGUAGGCCUAACACAUGCAAGUCGAACGGCAGCACAGUAAGAGCUUGCUCUUACGGGUGGCGAGUGGCGGACGGGUGAGGAAUACAUCGGAAUCUACUUUUUCGUGGGGGAUAACGUAGGGAAACUUACGCUAAUACCGCAUACGCCCUACGGGUGAAAGCAGGGGAUCUUCGGCCCUUGCGCGAUUGAAUGAGCCGAUGUCGGAUUAGCUAGUUGGCGGGGUAAGGGCCCACCAAGGCGACGAUCCGUAGCUGGUCUGAGAGGAUGAUCAGCCACACUGGAACUGAGACACGGUCCAGACUCCUACGGGAGGCAGCAGUGGGGAAUAUUGGACAAUGGGCGCAAGCCUGAUCCAGCCAUACCGCGUGGGUGAAGAAGGCCUUCGGGUUGUAAAGCCCUUUUGUUGGGAAAGAAAAGCAGCAGGUUAAUACCCCGCUGUUCUGACGUUACCCAAAGAAUAAGUACCGGCUAACUUCGUG